GUGCCGGUUCUACAGUGGCUAUCCCCAUUGUGGAAGGCACCGAUGCCCUUGAAGAUUAAGAUCUUCGUAUGGCAGCUUCUACGAGAUCGUCUUCCUUCGGGGACCGACAUGCUGAAACGCCAUGGUCCGGGCAAUGGCCUUUGCUUGUGCCAUGCCCCGGAAAUGGGAACGCACAUUUUGUUUUCUUGCGUAGCAGCGCAGGCACUUUCGUGCUUUGUUUGUGAGGCUCUAGGACCAGAGUGGGAGGCCCAUGACCUUGCAGAGUUUCUGCAGGUAAGGGCCACCCAGGUUGGCCCUAAGCGCCGAUUAUUCUGGCUCAUCUUCACGGCUAUGAUGUGGACUCUUUGGACUACUCACAACAAGAUGGUGAUUGAGCGGGUGUUCCCGCGUCGUGCUUCUGACUCGUUCUUCAAAUUUUUUGCCUUCUUGCAGUACUGGCAUCCGCUCGCUAGGCCGAGGGAUCGUGACCGUCUUCAGCUCUUGCUGGACGCUCUGGUGUCUACCGCGUGUCGGCUCUCCUACCGCCCGCCUGCUUCAUAG
RNAcentral lists this ribosomal RNA (540 nucleotides) under Triticum aestivum (bread wheat). RNAcentral's name for it is "partial small subunit ribosomal RNA". Lineage: Eukaryota; Viridiplantae; Streptophyta; Magnoliopsida; Poales; Poaceae. The record is from RNAcentral.